UCCCUGGUGGCUCAGUGGUAAAGAAUCUGCCUGUCACGCAGGAGACUCAGGUUCAAUCCCUGGGUUGGGAA
Molecule: transfer RNA, 71 nt
Filed under: Ovis aries (sheep)
Lineage: Eukaryota; Metazoa; Chordata; Mammalia; Artiodactyla; Bovidae
Rfam family: tRNA
About the family: Transfer RNA (tRNA) molecules are approximately 80 nucleotides in length. Their secondary structure includes four short double-helical elements and three loops (D, anti-codon, and T loops).
Source: Rfam by way of RNAcentral